GUCUACAGCCAUAGCACCCUGAACACGCCUGAUCUUGUCUGAUGUUACAAGCUAAGCAGGGAUUGGCCUGGUUAGUACUUAUAUGGGAGACUGCCUGGGAAUACUGGGUGCUGUAGGCU
Callithrix jacchus (white-tufted-ear marmoset) is the source of this 119-nucleotide ribosomal RNA. NCBI's taxonomy places the organism in Eukaryota, Metazoa, Chordata, Mammalia, Primates, Cebidae. The record is from Ensembl.